GUGCCGUGAUAAAUUACUCUAAAUGUUGAUCGACGAGAACCCUAAUUAUUAAAAAACAAUAUUGAAAUGCAUGAUGCUUUUUUCGCUUCUUCACCAAACAAUUCUAUUCUACAGCAAGAAUUAAUCGAAAUUUAGUAGUUGCAGUUAAGUUAAUUGGAAGAAAGAAAGAAAAAUGAAGACGGAAUCCAUUAAUACCUGCACUUAUAAAUGGAUCAAUGGUGCAAUGGAUUUGGACCAGUGGGAACCAAUCUUGCGUUCACACCAUACAAUGCAGUGGUAUCAUUAGAAGUAGAAGCAGAAGCAUUUUCUUCCGGGUUCCAAAAAUUGACUGUGUUGUUGGUACUACUAAUUAUGAGCAUCUUCCGACGACCACUCCCGUUAAUUCGUCGUCGACUCGAUUGGAAAAGAGCAGCGAUCCUUUUUCUACCCGUCCUUAAAUGGUGGAAUCCUUGCAUAAGUAGAAUAAGACCAAGAAUCCAGAUGAGAAUGAGAAGACCCAUCUCAAGCUUAGACCUUCUCAUGACUGUAAACAAGUAGUAACUGUACGAAGUAAAGAAGAACGAUGUGGUCUGAAGUUUUGAGGGUUUUUAGUGUCGUAGACCUAAAGGAUCAGAAAAGAUUUAUGAUGGGUGCAGGCUGCCGGCGUGGGUGUUUGAGAAAAGAAGACAGCAAGUUGGUUUAUAUAUCGUUACCGGUAAUAUUGUUACCGGGUACAUAGGCCGGUACCUAGCUACCUAAAUAUUGUUUGGUUCUUUACUUCUUUUCAUGCCCGGAACGAGGAAUUAUAGGACAAUGCAUGACGCGUCCAUGGAUACACCCGCCCACUGCUACCCACUCUGCUCUCUUUGCUCAUCUUCUCAGACCUCACUUAACGCUCAAGCUAGGAAUUCAACAACAAGAACAAGGUAGAUCUACACCGGUAAAAUAAUCAUAAUCAUAAUGGUGCAGUGAAUUCCCUCCCUGUCGACCUGGAACCUGUCUCGUAAUAAAAAUGAUUAUGUUUCGGAUCCGGAUCUGGAUCCAUUUCAUUAUUAUUUUUUACUUUUUAUGGACGUAGUGUAUUGCAGAAGUGAGGAUGUGGUUGUAAUUUAUGGAAUCAUCAAUGUCUUAGUACGCAAUUGAGUGGCUCUUUAAUGCCAGAAUUAGGCUUGUGUAUCGAAUCAGAUUCGACACUCGUACAUGUAAUCCGAAAAUUCGAA
RNAcentral lists this long non-coding RNA (1199 nucleotides) under Zostera marina. Its description in RNAcentral is "long non-coding RNA (ZMAR_LNC000266)". Lineage: Eukaryota; Viridiplantae; Streptophyta; Magnoliopsida; Alismatales; Zosteraceae. The record is from RNAcentral.